Molecule: small nuclear RNA, 18 nt
Filed under: Arabidopsis thaliana (thale cress)
Lineage: Eukaryota; Viridiplantae; Streptophyta; Magnoliopsida; Brassicales; Brassicaceae
Description: snRNA_18004
Source: RNAcentral
CCCUGGAAAGGGGCGCCA